Molecule: long non-coding RNA, 905 nt
Filed under: Mus musculus (house mouse)
Lineage: Eukaryota; Metazoa; Chordata; Mammalia; Rodentia; Muridae
Description: RIKEN cDNA 2500002B13 gene
Source: RNAcentral
GACUGUGAGGUCAGGCUUUUACCGUGUUUUCUCGCCUCUAUUCUCUCCUGCGAGCAAGGGCUGGUUUUAGCUCCUCUUGUUUCGCAAAGUUAGUGUUCAGACCGCCAGCUGACUCCUGGGAAGAAGCAUUAAUGUUGCAGCUGAAGGCCCCUAACAUAUUGGAGAUGCCAGUACCAUAGAAUGAUCACCAAGAACAACAGCAACAGUGGAGUGGAGUCAAUCUGCUACAGAGAAUGCUACAGAGGGCAGAGCUGGAGAAGUGACACAAGCCCUUUGGAAGAGCCCAGAAGAUCAUGUGUGGAUCCUAGAUACUGGAACAAGAAGCGGAAUUUCCUCCAGUAUUUUCAUAGCAACCUUCAGAUGAAAGUGUAGAACUCUCAGCUCCUCCUGCAUCAUGACUGCCUGGGGCUGCCAUGUUCCUGCCUUGAUGAUAAUGGACUGAACCUCUAAACCUGACUGGUUGUUCUAUUUCUGAGAUCUCUGAGACCCAGCCCACCAGGAACACACAAAUGUGGAACCGAGAUAGGCUGAGGACUUAUUAAACAGAAUUCUGCUGUUCCUAUCCCAGGGUUGGACCAAUGUGUAGAAAAUUGCUUAUGGGAUUCUUUGAAUGACUUUUUCAUUGCGGGAAAUAUUAAAAAUGAACCUGCCAACCUUCCACACUCCUGCUUCUUUCAAGCCACCAACUCAAGAGAUCUGUCUCUGCCUCCUACGUGCUGGAAUCAAAGAAAUUACUUCACUGCCAUUAGAGCCUACUUCUUCAGGAUUCUGCUUAUACUGAAAACCAUGUGGGACAUCCAGCCUUGUGGACUGAACAACUUCUGGCUUCUUGGACCUUUCACUGUUAGUCAGCCAUUGUUGGACCACAGCCUAUAAGUCGUUCUAAUAAAUCUCCUACAUAUAGA